UUUUUAGAAGGUAGAGUUUGUGAAGAUGAGAAUAUGUCUGGGGUUACAGAUGGUUGAAUUUGUGAUGUUGGUGACAGUGGCAGCAGCAGCUGUGAAGGUUCAGAUGGCGGCUGUUUUGAAGGUUGAGAUGCAUUGUUGUUCAUCGACUCUUUGUUAUCAAACGUAUCCCAAAAGAUUGAGAAUAUGUCUGCUUUUUCUCCCCGAUGAUCAGGGGUUACAGAUGGUUGAAUUUGUGAUGUUGGUGACAGUGGCAGCAGCAGCUGUGAAGGUUCAGAUGGCGGCUGUUUUGAAGGUUGAGAUGCAUUGUUGUUCAUCGACUCUUUGUUAUCAAACGUAUCCCAAAAGAUUGAGAAUAUGUCUGCUUUUUCUCCCCGAUGAUCAGGGGUUACAGAUGGUUGAAUUUGUGAUGUUGGUGACAGUGGCAGCAGCAGCUGUGAAGGUUCAGAUGGCGGCUGUUUUGAAGGUUGAGAUGCAUUGUUGUUCAUCGACUCUUUGUUAUCAAACGUAUCCCAAAAGGUUGAGAAUAUGUCUGCUUUUUCUCCCCGAUGAUCAGGGGUUACAGAUGGUUGAAUUUGUGAUGUUGGUGACAGUGGCAGCAGCAGCUGUGAAGGUUCAGAUGGCGGCUGUUUUGAAGGUUGAGAUGCAUUGUUGUUCAUCGACUCUUUGUUAUCAAACGUAUCCCAAAAGGUUGAGAAUAUGUCUGGUUUUUCUCCCUGAUGAUCAGGGGUUACAGAUGGUUGAAUUUGUGAUGUUGGUGACAGUGGCAGCAGCAGCUGUGAAGGUUCAGAUGGCGGCUGUUUUGAAGGUUGAGAUGCAUUGUUGUUCAUCGACUCUUUGUUAUCAAACGUAUCCCAAAAGGUUGAGAAUAUGUCUGCCUUUUCUCCCUGAUGAUCAGGGGUUACAGAUGGUUGAAUUUGUGAUGUUGGUGACAGUGGCAGCAGCAGUUGUGAAGGUUGAGAUGGCGGCUGUUUUGAAGGUUGAGAUGCAUUGUUGUUCAUCGACUCUUUGUUAUUACGCGUAUCCCGGCGGAGGGUUGAGAAUAUGUCUGGUUUUUCUCCCUGAUGAUCAGGGGUUACAGA
RNAcentral lists this long non-coding RNA (1079 nucleotides) under Populus trichocarpa (black cottonwood). RNAcentral describes it as "long non-coding RNA (PTRI_LNC004263)". Lineage: Eukaryota; Viridiplantae; Streptophyta; Magnoliopsida; Malpighiales; Salicaceae. The record is from RNAcentral.